GGAUGCAUAACUGGGCAACUUAACUUUGGCAAUUUGUUACUCUCGUCCUGUCUGCUCGGUUGUUAGACAGGAAUCAGUAGUAAUCUUACUGCCAAAGGAGAUUUGCCCAGCAAUUCAUCU
This 120-nucleotide microRNA precursor is filed under the name Corchorus capsularis. Its description in RNAcentral is "pre miRNA mir-399". Lineage: Eukaryota; Viridiplantae; Streptophyta; Magnoliopsida; Malvales; Malvaceae. The record is from RNAcentral.